UGGGGAAUUUUGGACAAUGGGCGAAAGCCUGAUCCAGCAAUGCCGCGUGUGUGAAGAAGGCCUUCGGGUUGUAAAGCACUUUUGUCCGGAAAGAAAUCCUUGGCUCUAAUACAGUCGGGGGAUGACGGUACCGGAAGAAUAAGCACCGGCUAACUACGUGCCAGCAGCCGCGGUAAUACGUAGGGUGCAAGCGUUAAUCGGAAUUACUGGGCGUAAAGCGUGCGCAGGCGGUUUGCUAAGACCGAUGUGAAAUCCCCGGGCUCAACCUGGGAACUGCAUUGGUGACUGGCAGGCUAGAGUAUGGCAGAGGGGGGUAGAAUUCCACGUGUAGCAGUGAAAUGCGUAGAGAUGUGGAGGAAUACCGAUGGCGAAGGCAGCCCCCUGGGCCAAUACUGACGCUCAUGCACGAAAGCGUGGGGAGCAAACAGGAUUAGAUACCCUGGUAGUCCACGCCCUAAACGAUGUCAACUAGUUGUUGGGGAUUCAUUUCCUUAGUAACGUAGCUAACGCGUGAAGUUGACCGCCUGGGGAGCACGGUCGCAAGAUU
Molecule: ribosomal RNA, 547 nt
Filed under: uncultured bacterium
Lineage: Bacteria
Description: partial 16S ribosomal RNA
Rfam family: Bacterial small subunit ribosomal RNA
Source: RNAcentral